This 234-nucleotide ribosomal RNA is filed under the name uncultured Staphylococcus sp. Its description in RNAcentral is "partial 16S ribosomal RNA". It matches the Rfam family "Bacterial small subunit ribosomal RNA", at positions 106 to 334 of the family's 1533-position model. The record is from RNAcentral. Lineage: Bacteria; Bacillati; Bacillota; Bacilli; Caryophanales; Staphylococcaceae.
GUGAGUAACACGUGGAUAACCUACCUAUAAGACUGGGAUAACUUCGGGAAACCGGAGCUAAUACCGGAUAAUAUAUUGAACCGCAUGGUUCAAUAGUGAAAGACGGUUUUGCUGUCACUUAUAGAUGGAUCCGCGCCGCAUUAGCUAGUUGGUAAGGUGACGGCUUACCAAGGCAACGAUGCGUAGCCGACCUGAGAGGGUGAUCGGCCACACUGGAACUGAGACACGGUCCAG